RNAcentral lists this ribosomal RNA (471 nucleotides) under uncultured bacterium. RNAcentral describes it as "partial 16S ribosomal RNA". It matches the Rfam family "Bacterial small subunit ribosomal RNA", at positions 28 to 507 of the family's 1533-position model. The record is from RNAcentral.
GACGAACGCUGGCGGCGUGCUUAACACAUGCAAGUCGAACGGUGAGGCCCAGCUUUUGUUGGGUGGUCGAGUGGCGAACGGGUGAGUAACACGUGAGUAACCUGCCCCCUUCUUUGGGAUAACGCCCGGAAACUGGUGCUAAUACCGGAUAUUCACUGCUCUUCGCUUGGGGGUUUGUGCAAAGUGCGUAGGUGGUGGGUGUUGGACGCGCUGCUUAUCUGGUUGUUGGGGGGGUGAUUGCCGACGACGGGUUUGUAGGGUAGCCGGCCUGGGAGGGUGGCCGGCGACAUUGGGACUGAGAUACGGCGCAGAGUCGUACGGGGGACAGCAGGGGGGAGGAUGGCACAAUGGUGGGAAGCCUGAGGCAGAGACGUCGCGGGCUGGAUGUCGGGCUUCGGGUGGGAAACCGCUUAAGCCGGUGACGAAGCGUGAGUGACGGUAAUGGGUAAAGAAGCACCGGCUAACUACGUG